This 550-nucleotide ribosomal RNA is filed under the name uncultured bacterium. RNAcentral describes it as "partial 16S ribosomal RNA". It matches the Rfam family "Bacterial small subunit ribosomal RNA", at positions 355 to 895 of the family's 1533-position model. The record is from RNAcentral.
UGGGGAAUUUUGGACAAUGGGCGAAAGCCUGAUCCAGCAAUGCCGCGUGUGUGAAGAAGGCCUUCGGGUUGUAAAGCACUUUUGUCCGGAAAGAAAUGGCUCUGGUUAAUACCUGGGGUCGAUGACGGUACCGGAAGAAUAAGGACCGGCUAACUACGUGCCAGCAGCCGCGGUAAUACGUAGGGUCCAAGCGUUAAUCGGAAUUACUGGGCGUAAAGCGUGCGCAGGCGGUUGUGCAAGACCGAUGUGAAAUCCCCGAGCUUAACUUGGGAAUUGCAUUGGUGACUGCACGGCUAGAGUGUGUCAGAGGGGGGUAGAAUUCCACGUGUAGCAGUGAAAUGCGUAGAGAUGUGGAGGAAUACCGAUGGCGAAGGCAGCCCCCAUGGGAUAACACUGACGCUCAUGCACGAAAGCGUGGGGAGCAAACAGGAUUAGAUACCCUGGUAGUCCACGCCCUAAACGAUGUGCAACUAGGUUGUUGGGGAUUCAUUUCCUUAGUAACGUAGCUAACGCGUGAAGUUGACCGCCUGGGGAGUACGGUCGCAAGAUU